GUCGUAGUCUUGCGGACGCUGGCGCUACGGUGGGAAUAAUGGGAGGCUGGGGACAGCGGGGACUACAAGCAAGAUGGCGGAGGGCGUGCCAAGCCUGGAGUCGAGGAUGCUGGGAGUUAUAGUUCGGUUGUCCCAAGGCUCCCCGUUACAGAGCAUAGAGAAGGAGCGGGAACGAUGACUACAAACAAGAUGGCUUUCUCCCCCGACCUACUUCCCAGGCACUCACACGCCCUUCUGUCCACAACCCUCCGCGUGUGUGGUACCUGACGGGAGUCGCAGUACAUCUGCUGCCUUCCCGCUGCCAUUUCUGUUCGUCAGGAACAAUGGAAAGGUGAAAAGGAACGAGGACUACAAGCAAGAUGGCGGAAGAGGGGCGUACACCUGACUAGUAGUCGAUCUUAUGAGGUGCGAUGGGAAUAGUAGUUUUUUAGCCUUCCAGUGCUCCUUAAGAAUGGCGGAACCAGGAGGAUAAGGAGACUACCAUAAAGAUGGCAGGUUACCUAGCCUCUCCCCGUCGCCUCAUUCUACCACCUUGGGCACCUCGCCCGCCUGUAAUAUCCAAAUCCCCCUCCCAGUAGCGCAGAGCCUGACGGGAGUUGCAGUCUUCCCGGCUCCCCUCUGUUAUCUUCAGUCUAGACAAUGGAAGGGGAAAGGGGCCGGCAAGGAAAGCAGCAAAGAUGCCGGCCAAAGGAAAGAAGAGACGGCGCCCUGGGACUUGUAGUCCGCGUGCUAAGGCUACUCCUUGCGGAAACGGGGGGAAGAACUACAGUAAAGAUGGCGUCAUAUCACUUGCACUCUGCGCCAGUGCCUGCUGGGGGACGUAGUCCCUUCCUUAGCUCUACGGAGAAAGGACGUAGGCUGUUGGAAUGUGCAUCACCGCGGACACGCCAAAUUGCGAGCCGACGGAAACAGAGAGUCUCUUUCCUCCUCUCCCCACCACCCCCUUCUGAACAACCUGCCGGGAAAUGUACUCCCACACCUUCACUCGCUAGUGGAGGGGGAGAAUUUAUGUCUCCACUGGGGAUCAGUGGAGGUGAGAGAGAAAGACGUCCGGGCGAUCCAGGAAUAUAGAAUAUCCGCCUCCCCGUGUGGCGAGGACUUCAUAUUUCAGGAUAUGUUAAGAGAUGCAAUCACCAACCACCCUGAACCAGUCUGCACCCCACUGCAAGAGCUACGCCUCCACACAGACGGGCUGAGAAGUGCCCAAGAGAUCACCUUUGCUUCAUUUCAAUGUUAAGAUUCCACCCCAGGAGGAGUUUAGGCCUUAUUACCAUAACAUGCCAUGUACGUGGAAGCAUGUUUUCCAACUCCGCCUGCGUGAGCAAGUUCCCACCUCUCCCUUUUGAAUAUUCAUUCCCAUCCGAAACAAAAGGCCCCUGCUUUCUCUUGAUCCGGGAGCCAUGGCUGUGGAAGAAAUUAUCCAUUGUCUCCUUUAUUUGCUGCAAAUAAAUUUUACUUUGUGUGACAGCUA
This is a long non-coding RNA of Equus caballus (horse), 1471 nucleotides long. RefSeq lists it as uncharacterized. NCBI's taxonomy places the organism in Eukaryota, Metazoa, Chordata, Mammalia, Perissodactyla, Equidae. The record is from RefSeq and is a predicted model, not a curated record.